UGGGGAAUUUUGCACAAUGGGGGAAACCCUGAUGCAGCGACGCCGCGUGAUUUAGAAGGCCUUCGGGUUGUAAAAAUCUUUUCUAUGGGAAGAAAAUGACAGUACCAUAGGAAUAAGGACCGGCUAAUUACGUGCCAGCAGCCGCGGUAAUACGUAAGGUCCGAGCGUUGUCCGGAAUCAUUGGGCGUAAAGGGUACGUAGGCGGGUAAGCAAGUUAGAAGUGAAAUCCUAUAGCUCAACUAUAGUAAGCUUUUAAAACUGCUCAUCUUGAGGUAUGGAAGGGAAAGUGGAAUUCCUAGUGUGGCGGUGAAAUGCGCAGAUAUUAGGAGGAAUACCGGUGGCGAAGGCGACUUUCUGGCCAUAACCUGACGCUGAGGUACGAAAGCGUGGGUAGCAAACAGG
This 402-nucleotide ribosomal RNA is filed under the name bacterium. RNAcentral's name for it is "partial 16S ribosomal RNA". It matches the Rfam family "Bacterial small subunit ribosomal RNA", at positions 355 to 776 of the family's 1533-position model. The record is from RNAcentral.